AUGAACGCUGGCGGCGUGCCUAAUACAUGCAAGUCGAGCGAACGGACGAGAAGCUUGCUUUUCUGAUGUUAGCGGCGGACGGGUGAGUAACACGUGGAUAACCUACCUAUAAGACUGGGAUAACUUCGGGAAACCGGAGCUAAUACCGGAUAAUAUUUUGAACCGCAUGGUUCAAAAGUGAAAGACGGUCUUGCUGUCACUUAUAGAUGGAUCCGCGCUGCAUUAGCUAGUUGGUAAGGUAACGGCUUACCAAGGCAACGAUGCAUAGCCGACCUGAGAGGGUGAUCGGCCACGCUGGAACUGAGACACGGUCCAGACUCCUACGGGAGGCAGCAGUAGGGAAUCUUCCGCAAUGGGCGAAAGCCUGACGGAGCAACGCCGCGUGAGUGAUGAAGGUCUUCGGAUCGUAAAACUCUGUUAUUAGGGAAGAACAUAUGUGUAAGUAACUGUGCACAUCUUGACGGUACCUAAUCAGAAAGCCACGGCUAACUACGUG
RNAcentral lists this ribosomal RNA (496 nucleotides) under uncultured bacterium. RNAcentral's name for it is "partial 16S ribosomal RNA". It matches the Rfam family "Bacterial small subunit ribosomal RNA", at positions 29 to 507 of the family's 1533-position model. The record is from RNAcentral.